CCUACGGGCGACAGCAGUGAGGAAUAUUGGUCAAUGGACGAGAGUCUGAACCAGCCAAGUAGCGUGAAGGAUGACGGCCCUAUGGGUUGUAAACUUCUUUUAUAGGGGAAGAAAAUGUGCCACGUGUGGGAUUUUGUAUGGAACAUAUGAAUAAGGAUCGGGUAACGCCGGGCCAUCAGCCGCGGUAAUACGGAGGAUCCGAGCGUUAGCCGGAUUUAUUGGGUUUAAAGGGAGCGUAGGUGGAUUGGUAAGUCCGUUGUGAAAGUUUGCGGCUCCACCGUAAAAUUGCCGUUGAAACGGGCAGUCUUGAGUACAGUAGAGGUGGGCUGCAUUCGUGUUGUCGCGG
This 346-nucleotide ribosomal RNA is filed under the name uncultured bacterium. RNAcentral describes it as "partial 16S ribosomal RNA". It matches the Rfam family "Bacterial small subunit ribosomal RNA", at positions 338 to 681 of the family's 1533-position model. The record is from RNAcentral.